AAAGAGGGCCCUGAAGGGGUAAAAUGGGAACUGGGAUUGAUCUAUUUUAGACUGGGAAAGUGGGAUUUGGGUUGCUGGGACUGGGAUUUGGCCACUGGGAAUGGGAAAUGAAGUCCUCAAAAAUGGGAAUGGGAUUGAGGUAAGGGGCGGACCAUUAGAAAUCCCGGGAGGGGGGGUGAAAAUUCCCCCAAAAAAAUUCGUGCAAAGGAAAAUGUCUGGAAAAAAAAUUCGUGCAGCCAUUACGUCAGAGAAAAAAAAUUCGUGCAAGCAAACAGAGAAGUACAAAUAGUCUUGAAAAAAAAUUCGUGCAGAGGUUAAAUGCAUUAAAAAAAAUUCCUGCAGAGACACGAGACGGAAAAAAAAAUUCGUGCUGCAAAGAUUUUAUACCCCCCCCCCCCCCCCC
This is a non-coding RNA of Paramuricea clavata, 403 nucleotides long. Lineage: Eukaryota; Metazoa; Cnidaria; Anthozoa; Malacalcyonacea; Plexauridae. The record is from the annotation of a GenBank genome assembly.